Molecule: ribosomal RNA, 274 nt
Filed under: uncultured bacterium
Lineage: Bacteria
Description: partial 16S ribosomal RNA
Rfam family: Bacterial small subunit ribosomal RNA
Source: RNAcentral
AUACGUAGGAUCCGGGCGUUGUCCGAAUUUACUGGGCGUAAAGGGCGCGUAGGCGGCCCGCUAAGUCUCAUGUGAAAUCUCCCGGCUCAACUGGGAGGGGUCAUGGGAUACUGGCGGGCUUGAGGGCAGCAGAGGGAAGCGGAAUUCCCGGAGUAGUGGUGAAAUGCGUAGAUACCGGGAGGAACACCAGUGGCGAAAGCGGCUUCCUGGACUGUACCUGACGCUGAGGCGCGAAAGCGUGGGGAGCAAACCGAAUUAGAAACCCGUGUAGUCC